Molecule: ribosomal RNA, 772 nt
Filed under: Streptomyces sp.
Lineage: Bacteria; Bacillati; Actinomycetota; Actinomycetes; Kitasatosporales; Streptomycetaceae
Description: bacterial SSU rRNA
Rfam family: Bacterial small subunit ribosomal RNA
Source: RNAcentral
GAUGAACCUCCUUCGGGAGGGGAUUAGUGGCGAACGGGUGAGUAACACGUGGGCAAUCUGCCCUGCACUCUGGGACAAGCCCUGGAAACGGGGUCUAAUACCGGAUACGACUACCGACCGCAUGGUCUGGUGGUGGAAAGCUCCGGCGGUGCAGGAUGAGCCCGCGGCCUAUCAGCUUGUUGGUGAGGUAACGGCUCACCAAGGCGACGACGGGUAGCCGGCCUGAGAGGGCGACCGGCCACACUGGGACUGAGACACGGCCCAGACUCCUACGGGAGGCAGCAGUGGGGAAUAUUGCACAAUGGGCGCAAGCCUGAUGCAGCGACGCCGCGUGAGGGAUGACGGCCUUCGGGUUGUAAACCUCUUUCAGCAGGGAAGAAGCGCAAGUGACGGUACCUGCAGAAGAAGCGCCGGCUAACUACGUGCCAGCAGCCGCGGUAAUACGUAGGGCGCAAGCGUUGUCCGGAAUUAUUGGGCGUAAAGAGCUCGUAGGCGGCUUGUCGCGUCGGUUGUGAAAGCCCGGGGCUUAACCCCGGGUCUGCAGUCGAUACGGGCAGGCUAGAGUUCGGUAGGGGAGAUCGGAAUUCCUGGUGUAGCGGUGAAAUGCGCAGAUAUCAGGAGGAACACCGGUGGCGAAGGCGGAUCUCUGGGCCGAUACUGACGCUGAGGAGCGAAAGCGUGGGAGCGAACAGGAUUAGAUACCCUGGUAGUCCACGCCGUAAACGGUGGGCACUAGGUGUGGGCCACAUUCCACGUGGUCCGUGCCGCAGCU